This 491-nucleotide ribosomal RNA is filed under the name uncultured bacterium. Its description in RNAcentral is "partial 16S ribosomal RNA". It matches the Rfam family "Bacterial small subunit ribosomal RNA", at positions 29 to 507 of the family's 1533-position model. The record is from RNAcentral.
AGUGAACGCUGGCGGUAGGGCUAACACAUGCAAGUCGAACGGCAGCACAGUAAGAGCUUGCUCUUACGGGUGGCGAGUGGCGGACGGGUGAGGAAUACAUCGGAAUCUACUUUUUCGUGGGGAUAACGUAGGGAAACUUACGCUAAUACCGCAUACGACCUACGGGUGAAAGCAGGGGAUCUUCGGACCUUGCGCGAUUGAAUGAGCCGAUGUCGGAUUAGCUAGUUGGCGGGGUAAAGGCCCACCAAGGCGACGAUCCGUAGCUGGUCUGAGAGGAUGAUCAGCCACACUGGAACUGAGACACGGUCCAGACUCCUACGGGAGGCAGCAGUGGGGAAUAUUGGACAAUGGGCGCAAGCCUGAUCCAGCCAUACCGCGUGGGUGAAGAAGGCCUUCGGGUUGUAAAGCCCUUUUGUUGGGAAAGAAAAGCAGCAGGUUAAUACCCCGCUGUUCUGACGGUACCCAAAGAAUAAGCACCGGCUAACUUCGUG